Molecule: ribosomal RNA, 460 nt
Filed under: uncultured bacterium
Lineage: Bacteria
Description: partial 16S ribosomal RNA
Rfam family: Bacterial small subunit ribosomal RNA
Source: RNAcentral
CCUACGGGAGGCAGCAGUGAGGAAUAUUGGUCAAUGGACGAGAGUCUGAACCAGCCAAGUAGCGUGAAGGAUGACUGCCCUAUGGGUUGUAAACUUCUUUUAUAUGGGAAUAAAACGUUCCACGUGUGGGAUUUUGUAUGUACCAUAUGAAUAAGGAUCGGCUAACUCCGUGCCAGCAGCCGCGGUAAUACGGAGGAUCCGAGCGUUAUCCGGAUUUAUUGGGUUUAAAGGGAGCGUAGGUGGAUUGUUAAGUCAGUUGUGAAAGUUUGCGGCUCAACCGUAAAAUUGCAGUUGAAACUGGCAGUCUUGAGUACAGUAGAGGUGGGGGGAAUGCGUGGUGUAGCGGGGAAAUGCAUAGAGAUCACGCAGAACUCCGAUUGUGAAGGCAGCAUACCGGCGCCCAACUGACGCUGGGGCACGAAAGCGUGGGGAUCGAACAGGAUUAGAUACCCCGGUAGUC